This is a long non-coding RNA of Nycticebus coucang (slow loris), 1437 nucleotides long. RefSeq lists it as uncharacterized. The record is from RefSeq and is a predicted model, not a curated record. NCBI's taxonomy places the organism in Eukaryota, Metazoa, Chordata, Mammalia, Primates, Lorisidae. The transcript has 3 exons.
UCUUUCCCUGUCUGUCUGACCAGACUGCAUGUGAAGCAGUGACCCUCAUCCUACAGAUCAAGAAACAGAGGGGUCCUGUGCCCUGCCAUUCUCCCAAAAGCUCCGACUCCAAGCUGGCAGCUGUCUGGAAGAAAUCACCAGGAGACCCAAGCUAUGAAAUGCUCUGCUCUCUUCUCUUUUCCUUGCUGUCCCCGGGGCUGGAGGAGCACAGGCCUCCCCAGGCACUGUGCCUCAGCCUUGCUGGCCUCCAUCUCCUUCCAAGGACUGGGCCUGGGGGGCCAGAAGCAAGAGGGCCUGCUCCUCCUAUCACAGGGUCCCUUCUCCAGAGCCAGCUCCUUCUCCUGAGCUGACUUUCUCCUCCUGGGAGCUGCUUGCUGAGACAGGAGGGUGAGAAAGAUGGCAGCCGAGGCCCCCAGGCAGGUGGGGGCUGGGAGGCAGCAGAGGAGGCUGGGUUGCUGCUGCCUCAGCUCCCUGGCCCCCUGCACUGCCGCUCUUCUGAGGUGUCUGGGGGAGGCCCAGGUGGGAGAUCUGAGGAUUGAGGACUUCUGAGCUCUCUGAGACCAGGGAGAGCCUUCCUCCCUUCAGUGGUAAAUUCUAUUAGUGUUCCCAUUUUGCAUAUGAGGACACUGAGGCCCUCAGAUGUGAAUGACUCGCCCUCACCCACACCAUGAAUGAAGGGCAGGGACAGGAUUCUAAUCAGCAUCCCUAGAUCUGCACUCCUAACCUCUGCCAGGGCUCGGUAAUCAUUUGUGGGGGUCCAUAGAGGAGAUAAACUCACUAAUUGACCUCUACUGAGUACCAGACAAAGGCUUAUACAGACCAUCUCCUUCAGUCCUGGAACAUUGCUGGGAAGUAGGGCUUGUCCAUUCUAUAGAAUCAGAGCGUCUGAGCACGGGAGAAGGGAAGGAACUCAUGGGGGGCACACAACCAAAGUGGGAGAACAAUCCAGAGAGCCUAGCAAUUGGGGCAUGGUGGAGGAGGCUCCACAGAGGAGGGGUCUGGGGUGGGAAAAUAGCUCCUGUCCUUAGCGAGCGAGCAGGGUGUGUGUGGUGCUGCCCGUGGUAAGCAGAAGGAAGUCACUGUGGGUGGCGGUGGGUUUGAGGUACCGGAGGCCUAGUGAUGUGGCCAGAAGGUGAGCUCCGCAUCUGCACGCCUGGUCAGCAGGGCCUGGGGUGGGUAGGUGGCCGAGAUUCGGAGCUCAGAGGAGCGCCAGCUGCUCUUGCCCUUUGGGCCUGGGGUGCAGGGGGCCAGGGGCUGGGACAGUGUGGGAGGAGAGACUGAGGCAGGGCUGGGAAAAGAGGGAGACAAACUGGGAAGGCGGCAAUCUGGGGAGGCAACCUGGAGUAGGCAGCUCUUGAAAGACAAGGCCUCAGGGUAUGGAAGGGGGUGGACCUGUGAGCAGAGGCUGGGGAGAUUGAGAAAGAGGUUCUGGGCAUG